UAAUCGGGGCAGGGUGAGUCGACCCCUAAGGCGAGGCCGAAAGGCGUAGUCGAUGGGAAACGGGUUAAUAUUCCCGUACUUGGUGUUACUGCGAAGGGGGGACGGAGAAGGCUAUGUUGGCCGGGCGACGGUUGUCCCGGUUUAAGCGUGUAGGUGUGUGUUCCAGGUAAAUCCGGUUCACUUUAACACUGAGGCGUGACGACGAGGCACUACGGUGCUGAAGCAACAAAUGCCCUGCUUCCAGGAAAAGCCUCUAAGCAUCAGGUAACAUCAAAUCGUACCCCAAACCGACACAGGUGGUCAGGUAGAGAAUACCAAGGCGCUUGAGAGAACUCGGGUGAAGGAACUAGGCAAAAUGGUGCCGUAACUUCGGGAGAAGGCACGCUGACACGUAGGUGAAGUGAUUUACUCAUGGAGCUGAAGUCAGUCGAAGAUACCAGCUGGCUGCAACUGUUUAUUAAAAACACAGCACUGUGCAAACACGAAAGUGGACGUAUACGGUGUGACGCCUGCCCGGUGCCGGAAGGUUAAUUGAUGGGGUCAGCGCAAGCGAAGCUCCUGAUCGAAGCCCCGGUAAACGGCGGCCGUAACUAUAACGGUCCUAAGGUAGCGAAAUUCCUUGUCGGGUAAGUUCCGACCUGCACGAAUGGCGUAAUGAUGGCCAGGCUGUCUCCACCCGAGACUCAGUGAAAUUGAACUCGCUGUGAAGAUGCAGUGUACCCGCGGCAAGACGGAAAGACCCCGUGAACCUUUACUAUAGCUUGACACUGAACAUUGAGCCUUGAUGUGUAGGAUAGGUGGGAGGCUUUGAAGUGUGGACGCCAGUCUGCAUGGAGCCGACCUUGAAAUACCACCCUUUAAUGUUUGAUGUUCUAACGUGGACCCGUUACCCGGGUUGCGGACAGUGUCUGGUGGGUAGUUUGACUGGGGCGGUCUCCUCCUAAAGAGUAACGGAGGAGCACGAAGGUUGGCUAAUCCUGGUCGGACAUCAGGAGGUUAGUGCAAUGGCAUAAGCCAGCUUGACUGCGAGCGUGACGGCGCGAGCAGGUGCGAAAGCAGGUCAUAGUGAUCCGGUGGUUCUGAAUGGAAGGGCCAUCGCUCAACGGAUAAAAGGUACUCCGGGGAUAACAGGCUGAUACCGCCCAAGAGUUCAUAUCGACGGCGGUGUUUGGCACCUCGAUGUCGGCUCAUCACAUCCUGGGGCUGAAGUAGGUCCCAAGGGUAUGGCUGUUCGCCAUUUAAAGUGGUACGCGAGCUGGGUUUAGAACGUCGUGAGACAGUUCGGUCCCUAUCUGCCGUGGGCGCUGGAGAACUGAGGGGGGCUGCUCCUAGUACGAGAGGACCGGAGUGGACGCAUCACUGGUGUUCGGGUUGUCAUGCCAAUGGCACUGCCCGGUAGCUAAAUGCGGAAGAGAUAAGUGCUGAAAGCAUCUAAGCACGAAACUUGCCCCGAG
Molecule: ribosomal RNA, 1454 nt
Filed under: Salmonella enterica
Lineage: Bacteria; Pseudomonadati; Pseudomonadota; Gammaproteobacteria; Enterobacterales; Enterobacteriaceae
Description: partial 23S ribosomal RNA
Rfam family: Bacterial large subunit ribosomal RNA
Source: RNAcentral